This 452-nucleotide ribosomal RNA is filed under the name uncultured eukaryote. RNAcentral describes it as "SSU rRNA". It matches the Rfam family "Eukaryotic small subunit ribosomal RNA", at positions 613 to 1071 of the family's 1831-position model. The record is from RNAcentral.
UUGCGGUAAAAAGCUCGUAGUUGGAUUUCUGUUGAGGACGACCGGUCCGUACCAUGUACGCGCAUCUGGUUCGGCCUCGGCAUCCUCUCGAUAGACGUUUCUGCGCUUGAUUGCGUGGAGCGGAUUUCGGGACUUUUACUUUGAGGAAAUUGGAGUGUUCACGGCAGGCUAACGCCAGAACAUAUUAGCAUGGAAUAAUACUAUAGGAUCUCGGUUCUAUUUUGUUGGUUUCUAGACCCGGGGUAAUGAUAAAUAGGGACAAUUGGGGGCAUUUGUAUCAACACGUCAGAGGUGGAAUUCUUGGAUUGUGUUGCGACAAACUACUGCGAAAGCAUUUGCCAAGGAUGUUUUCAUUGAUCAAGAACGAAAGUAAGGGGAUCGAAGACGAUUAGAUACCGUCGUAGUCUUUACCAUAAACUAUGCCAACUAGAGAUGGGGCAUCGUUCACUUAC